ACCUCAAGAUAAAUCAAAAUGGAAACAAAAUAUUCCAAAAUCUAUGGGAUGCUGCAAAAGCAGGUAUAAGAGGGAAGUUCACAUAUACACACAUACUUUACUAUAUACUUGAAACUAACACAUUGUUGUGCAUUAGCCAUACUUCAAUAAAAAAUUAAAUUACAUUUAAGGAACAAUCUAAAAUAGCUCCAUGGGGCUAUUUAUCUUGAUUUUAUGCCAUCUAAAUACUGUUAGAUAUGCCAUUAAUGAUUAUGUAAAUUAUCAAUGCAAUAAAUAAGGACAGAAAGUGCUGCGAAUCACAUUAUCAAGUAUUCUUUGUUCACUGACAUUGUAUUUUAUAUCACUAUAGUAAUAUUAUAUCAUAGAAAAGAACCCUCUGAGAAAAUAUGUUUAAUAUUGAUAUCACCCCACUGAAUUACCAUUCAGCCUAUCUUCCUUUAAGUAUUAUCCUCAAAAGUCUUGGCUAUCUUCUAGGCAAAGAGUUAGUGAACUCUCAGUCUCUGAGAAUUCUAGUUUGGAUUCCAGUUGCCAAAGAUACUGUAUUGAACAUGACAAUGUUUCUGUCCUUUUGUUGCUUAAAUUCUAGUGAGAGAAAAACUAAACUAAAUAAACAAUAAAUAGUUAGAUAAGUAAAAAGCAAGUUCAAUACUAAAGGUAAUUAAGUGAUAUUAAGAAAAUACGUUAAUGGAAAAGAGGGUCACUGGGUGGCUAUUUUAGGUCACGUGGUUGGGGAAGACCUCUUUAGGUAACUUUUAAGCUGCACUUGAAUGAUCAGGAGGGGCCAGCCUUGCAGAAAAUUGGGAAGAAGUAAGGCAAAAUGCCAAGGUGAAUAGGAAGAGUAAAUAUAAGUACAUCUGUCCCGGCUGUUUUACAAUACUACCUUCUCUAGGUCAUUGAGUCAUUCACACCUCUCUCAGAGAGAUACACCAGUACUAGUAGCCAACCAUGCACCCACACAACCUUACAGUUAUAGCUCUGAAUUAAUAUAAUCCAUUUUGGAGGUUAGGAGUGCAGGUGGGGAGGGUGGCUCUAUCACUCCCUGAAGACUAAACGUGAUAAGAAAUCACAAGCCACCAUGGCUACUUCUACUGAAUGGUCAUAACAUUCCCAAAUUUUGGAUAACUUUUUAAAAAGGAUAUUGUUGAUCAUAGGGGGAAAAAAAAAGAGUGAAGAAUUAAUGCAAAUUCACAACUACUGGCAACACAAUUCAAAAAGUAUAACUUAUACUCAAGAACAACAUAAGCAAAUGUUUCCCACUUCCACAGAUAAGUGGAAAAUCUGAGAAUAUGUUCACCGGAACUAAAAUAACUCAACUUAGUUGUGAAAGUGAAAGUGUUAAUAGCUCAGU
Molecule: long non-coding RNA, 1348 nt
Filed under: Capra hircus (goat)
Lineage: Eukaryota; Metazoa; Chordata; Mammalia; Artiodactyla; Bovidae
Description: lncRNA (ENSCHIG00010016821.1)
Source: RNAcentral